UUCGGGAACCUGGAGACAGGUGCUGCAUGGCUGUCGUCAGCUCGUGUCGUGAGAUGUUCGGUUAAGUCCGCUAACGAGCGCAACCCUCGCUGUGUGUUACAAGUGUCACACGGAACUGCCGGUCAUAAACCGGAGGAAGGUGGGAUGACGUCAAGUCAGCAUGGCCUUUAUAUCCUGGGCUACGACACACGCUACAAUGGGAAGGGACAAUAGGUUGCGAAGCCGCGAGGCGGAGCCAAUCCAGCCAAAAACUUCCCUCAGUUCAGAUUGCAGGCUGCAACUCGCCUGCAUGAAGUUGGAGUUGCUAGUAAACGCAGGUCAGCCAUACUGCGUUGAAUACGUUCCCGGGGCUU
This 353-nucleotide ribosomal RNA is filed under the name uncultured Anaerolineaceae bacterium. RNAcentral describes it as "bacterial SSU rRNA". It matches the Rfam family "Bacterial small subunit ribosomal RNA", at positions 1019 to 1382 of the family's 1533-position model. The record is from RNAcentral. Lineage: Bacteria; Bacillati; Chloroflexota; Anaerolineae; Anaerolineales; Anaerolineaceae.